GACGAACGCUGGCGGCGACGCCUAACACAUGCAAGUCGAACGAGUAGAUGAAGAGCUUGCUCUUCAGAUCGAGUGCGAACGGGUGAGUAACGCGUGAGGAACCUGCCUCAAAGAGGGGGACAACAGUUGGAAACGACUGCUAAUACCGCAUAAGCCCACGGCUCGGCAUCGAGCAGAGGGAAAAGGAGUGAUCCGCUUUGAGAUGGCCUCGCGUCCGAUUAGCUAGUUGGUGAGGUAAACGGGCCCACCAAGGCGACGAUCGGUAGCCGGACUGAGAGGUUGAACGGCCACAUUGGGACUGAGACACGGCCCAGACUCCUACGGGAGGCAGCAGUGGGGAAUAUUGCACAAUGGGGGGAACCCUGAUGCAGCGACGCCGCGUGGAGGAAGAAGGUCUUCGGAUUGUAAACUCCUGUUGUUGAGGAAGAUAAUGACGGUACUCAACAAGGAAGUGACGGCUAACUACGUG
This 469-nucleotide ribosomal RNA is filed under the name uncultured bacterium. RNAcentral describes it as "bacterial SSU rRNA". It matches the Rfam family "Bacterial small subunit ribosomal RNA", at positions 28 to 507 of the family's 1533-position model. The record is from RNAcentral.